UUUAUACUCCUUCCGUCCCAAAAUUCUUAUCUUAUAUUUAUUUAGAUAUGAAUGUAUCUAGUCANNNNUUAGUAUUUAGAUACAUCAAUUUUUAAACAAAGUUAAGACAAGAAUUUUAGGACGGAGGGAGUAUGUG
Hordeum vulgare subsp. vulgare (domesticated barley) is the source of this 136-nucleotide non-coding RNA. Lineage: Eukaryota; Viridiplantae; Streptophyta; Magnoliopsida; Poales; Poaceae. The record is from Rfam.